This 440-nucleotide ribosomal RNA is filed under the name uncultured bacterium. RNAcentral's name for it is "partial 16S ribosomal RNA". It matches the Rfam family "Bacterial small subunit ribosomal RNA", at positions 338 to 795 of the family's 1533-position model. The record is from RNAcentral.
CCUACGGGAGGCAGCAGUGGGGGAUAUUGCACAAUGGGGGAAACCCUGAUGCAGCGACGCCGCGUGUAGGAAGACGGUCCUCUGGAUUGUAAACUACUGUCCCCAGGGACGACGAUGACGGUACCUGGGGAGGAAGCUCCGGCUAACUACGUGCCAGCCGCCGCGGUAAUACGAAGGGAGGGAGCGUUGUACGGAAUUACUGGGUGGAAAGGGGGCGUAGGCGGGGAUGCAAGUUGGGUUGUAAAUCUACCGGCUCAACUGGUAGUCGCACCCAAAACUGCAGCUCUUGAGUGAAGUAGAGGCAGGCGGAAUUCCUAGUGUAGCGGUGAAAUGCGUAGAUAUUAGGAGGAACACCAGUGGCGAAGGCGGCCUGCUGGGCUUUUACUGACGCUGAGGCUCGAAAGUGUGGGGAGCAAACAGGAUUAGAUACCCUUGUAGUC